GCAAGUCGAACGCGAACGGCUGUGCUUGCACAGCUUAUAGAGUGGCGCACGGGUGAGUAACACGUAGGUAAUCUAUCCUUUGGUUCGGGACAACCGUUAGAAAUGACGGCUAAUACCAAGUAAGCUUGAGACGGCCCUGGCUGUUUCGAGGAUAGCUGAGAAGCGACGAAGGAGGAGCCUGCGCUCCAUCAGUUAGUUGGUAAGGUAACGGCUUACCAAGACUGCGACGGAUAGCUGGUCUGAGAGGAUGAUC
RNAcentral lists this ribosomal RNA (253 nucleotides) under uncultured bacterium. RNAcentral's name for it is "partial 16S ribosomal RNA". It matches the Rfam family "Bacterial small subunit ribosomal RNA", at positions 57 to 305 of the family's 1533-position model. The record is from RNAcentral.